Molecule: long non-coding RNA, 32761 nt
Filed under: Theobroma cacao (cacao)
Lineage: Eukaryota; Viridiplantae; Streptophyta; Magnoliopsida; Malvales; Malvaceae
Description: long non-coding RNA (TCAC_LNC000781)
Source: RNAcentral
GCACGGGGCACGGUGGGCGCUUGCUGUAUAACAAUAUAUGGAGCUUUCCACCGACUAUCGACUUAAGUUGCAACAAGCUUACAGGACCAAUCUGGCCAAGCUUUGGGAAUUUGAAAAACCUCCAUGUUUUGAGUCUGGAAGGGAACGACCUUUCAGGAACCAUUCCAGAUAGUAUGUCGGAGAUGACAAGCUUAGAAGAGUUGGAUUUGUCUCGUAACAAGCUCUCAGGCGAAAUACCUAAUUCCCUGGUACAUCUCAGCUUUUUGUCAAAAUUCAAUGUAUCAUACAAUGAGCUCUAUGGGGAUAUACCUUCAGGAGGUCAGUUUACGACAUUCCCUGAAUCAAGCUUUGAGGGGAACGAGGCUCUUUGCACUAGAAUGUUAAGACCAUGCCAAAUAGAACAGGUACCACCACUUGUAACUCCAGGUAAAAAAAUGAAGAUUGUGGAUUGGAAAUUUAGCAUUGGAGCGGCAAUUGGUUUUGUUCUCACUGUCUGCUUUUGCUUCAAAUCAGGCUGGGUACUUCCCAAAGGAUGAGAAGCUUAUCAAGGAUGCAACAAAUACUAAAUCUAGAACUGGGUGUUCCAUGGUGCUGACAAGCUUGUAAAAUUAGAUUUGGACAAUCUUUUUGUGUAUAGCUCCUCCCAUGGUUCUUUCUUCUUACUUUAGCUUCUUUUAAAUGGAAUGUAAUGAUCAAUGAAAAAUCAUAAAGCAUACUAUCAAAGUUCUAAUAUACUUCUAGUUUACGAAGUUUAAAAACAGAGAUAAGGCAUUUUUCCUUAACAGCAACACUGUCCGGAUCUUUUCAGCUUCAAGCCUUCAAUAUAUUUUUGUAAAAAUAUCUGAAACUCCAAGAGCAGAAAAAAUAAAAUAUCUUAUUACAUCUGUCAAUAUAUUUUUGAACGCUGCCCAAAAAUUAUAUUCUGCUGUCAAAAAGCAACUAUAAGCAUUCAAGACACGGCUUAGGCAUUGCACUGGGGUAAAAUAGUUGGAGGUACAAUAGCGUCCAUAUUCUUGCACAAUAGUACAGAAGAAAAUGCCUCAUCAUCCAAGAAAGAAAAAAGAGAAAAAUAUAUUUAAAAGGUCUCCCAUAUCCGUAUCCCUGCAUUAGAAUAAAGCGGGACAAGCAUGGGCUUCAAGCCUCCAAAGGCAUAAAAAGAUGCUACAAGUGUUUGAUAAUUACAAACAAAUCCUUCUAAAUUUACAGACAAAUACUCCCGAUAUCCCAUCAGAUCACCAUCAACAAGGCUUUUCAAAUAAAGCCCCCUUCAAAAGUUCUGUCCUCUAAACUUUCAGAACAUCUACUUAAGGCUGAUUGCAUUAAAUAUAAAUAGCAUUUACCUGUCCUAUCAAAAAGCAAAAUAAUAAAAUUUCUAUAGUGAACGGUUAUGGCUGUUAGCUGAAACCUCAAAAGAGCUUCUGUUUUCCUGCUUGUUUUCAUCAUCACAAACCUUCCGAGCCAUUUGAUUCUUGGAUCUCAUCAACUGAACUCAACUUUUCAAGAAUUAACCUUUCUUGCUUGGCAUCUAUUCCAUUGAAGUCAAGACAUCAAAAAAUCUUCUCUAUAAAAUAAAUUUUCAAGGGUAUGAACUAAACAUUAAUCAUGCAUGCAGAGAUACUGCAAUAACCAAGUUAUGGCUUCACCAUAAUUUUUAAGAACUCCAAACUAUAAAGUUCCAAAGUAACACUUCAGUAACAGCAUCAGAUAUUUGUCCUCUUAAUGGAAAAUUUUAGAUAAAAAUAUGGCUAAGUGGCUCUACUUAUUUGCAGAAAAUUUCUACAAGCAUUAGUUUCCGGAUAUGUCUAAAAUAGGUAUCCAGAUUGUGAUAGAAUUAACUCCCCAAAUUUAAGUUAUGUAAUUGCACCGUUUGUUUGUUGCUUGAAAAAAUUAUAUUGCUUUAGUGGCUAUAAGCAUUAAACACCCUAUCACACUUUUGGCAUGUAUAUGCAUAUCAUGUAUUCAUCAUGGAUUAUUUAUAAAGUAAGCAGAGAGCUGGCAAGGAUACAUUCCUGAUCAGGGUUCUCAGUGAAAUUGGAGUGCAGGGCAUUCCCUAUGCUGUCUACAAUGGCUGAGAUAGUCAUGGACGAUUCAAUGCAUAAAAUGGCUGUUAUGGCAUCUAAUCUUGUGACCUCAUUUCUGAACAUAAGCCUUGCAUGUGCUGCAACAUUAUAAGUGUCAACACCCACAUUGAUGAUUGGAUACUGCAGCAACAUUGCAAGCCAGUGUUUUGGCUCAUAAGGAUAAUAAAUCAACAAAUUCUCCAACAUACCUUGAGCCAGGCGUAUCAAGCUUUCAAGCAUGCGCACCGUUGUUCUUGCUGCAUAAUCCAUUAUGGUCUGAUCAAAGUGAAUAGAAUAAUGGCAAUCAUCAUCAAGUUGAAGGGAUUUCUAAAGGAGAAACCUGCAUUAUGUGUUCCUGAUCUCCUUUGGAGUUGAUAAUAGCUUGAGAUAACCUUUUCAGCCUCUUUUGUGAGCACUGGUUUAAAGUGCUUUUUUACAUAGUGAAUAUACCUGCAAGACAUCUACAAAAGCUACAAAAUCAAGUGAUCCAAGUAGAUACAUAAGAUUGUUGAGUACUUGGUGGUUGAGGAUAAAUUUUCUUCGAACAAGAAUUAUCUAGAAACCCCAACCAACCCUCAUCCCAAAAUAAUAAUAAGACGUUGCUAACAGAAGAUAGUUUAAAAUUUAAAAAAACUUUUACAGAGUGAUCUAAUAGUUCCUUGUAACCAAGGUGUAUUUACCUCCGAAGGAUGGGAAGCGGCCAGAUAUUUGAUAGAUCUUCAUCCCUCUUGCCUGCUUCAGAUUCUCCCUGAAAUUAAUUUCAAAUGGCAAUCAGGACAAUUAUAGUCAAAUCCCCCACCCCCCCCACCCCCCCUCUCUCCCCUUUUUUUUGUGGUCAGAGAUUUACAACUUUGUGAACACAUUACCUCAGCUAGAAUAUGCGAUGAUACAACUGCAUCCCAUUCAGGGUUUUUUGUAUCCAAGAGGACUAGGACAAUAUCAAAUCUGCUUAGUAAAGGACCAGAGAGUGCCGUAUUGACAGAGAGAGCUAGAUUUUGUUAAGAAUAAAUACAGUAUAAACAUAAAUAAGAGAAACAUUUAGGGAAGACUGUGAAAGCCAGAGAAAAGGGACUUGGGGGAAAGAACUGUUGAGAGAGCAGAGUUCCGAACAGUGAGUUCAAUUAUAUUCCACAUUUACAGACAAUGCUGAAUAAGGUAACAUGGAGGACAAAUUGUAAUUUUCAUAUUUAAAGGUGAAUAAUAACUAGCACAAUCAAGCAAUUCAAUUUUGAAAGGUCAAUCAAACUAGUUCUCUAAAUUGAAGUGAUACGUUGAUCAGGAUCAUAGUGUCCUUUGGGAUUUGUUGCACCAAAGACAAUUGUCCUAGUACUAAGAGUCGUAACAAGGCCAGCCUGAAAAAAAUAGAAAAAUGCCAAAACUUGUUUACCAGCCAUGCUUACACCAACCAGCAAGUAGAGUAUAAUAGCAAUCAAUUAAAACUAAAUAAAGAACAAAAAAUGGAUGCCACAUAACAAUAUUUAAACAAUCAUGGAAAAACAACAGCUUAUGGUAACAUUAAGUAUAAGUUGGUCAGCAAACUGCUUAUGCCAUGUAGGAGGCAAUGACAUCAACUAUGAACUUUAUAAAAUUCAACCCUCAACUUUCUCCAAGUAUUCUUACUGCAGAAUAUAAUGUGGGACAUGAGAUUUGGGCAGGAAUGAUCCAGGCCCAUGCAUAGGGAACUUGAUUAACAGGCUUAGCUUUUAGCUGUCAAAAAAGGCUCUUAACAAAAUCACUAAUACAUCAACUGGAUGCAAAACACAGAAAUGAAUGAUCUCAAAGAAUAUUGCAAAAGCUGAAUGAACUUAUUAAUCUUUCUUGAUAGCUUCCAAGCAUAAUGCAACCAAAUAUGCUAUUCUUGAUGUUUUCUAAGAGGUAAAAGAAAAUAAACAUGCGGUGAAGAUUUCAAUGAAGUUGCAAGGGCAGUUAUGCACUUCAAGAUGGAUAUAGAAAUAGUAUUGUACAGAUCCUCUAGCCUGCUCUAGCUAAAAUAAAUAAAUAAGGGAUAAACAACACCAAUGGUUAUUCUAGAAAUACCUAAAGCAGGAGUGAAAAAUAUGUUCUAGGUUUAAUUAUAACAGAGGGGAAAGAUAUGCUGAAAAGAAAUGUCAGCCAAAAUAGAGAUUUGCAAUGGAUUCUAACAGAAGUUAUUGUAAUGCAAAGUGGAAAAAACGUUCUACCUUCGCAACACUUAUAGUCUGCUGCUCCAUUGCUUCAUGUAUGGUUGCCCUGUCAUGCUCUCUCAUACUAUCCCACCCACCCCCCACCCCCAAAUAAAAAAAAAAAAAAAACAAAGAAGAAAUACAAUCAAACAUAAAUAAACAAAAAAAAAAGGUGCAGAUCAAUAACAAAUUUUAGUUGCCUCCUGAAAGAGCAGGCUCUUGAAUGACCAAAGAAAGCAACAUCAAAAGCAGCAUCAUAAGAGUGUAUAUUUAUGUAUACAUAAUUGUUAGUAUCAUAUAUUGAUAAUAAUACAAUUAUGAUGGCCAGUGUCAUGUACAAGAUGAAAAAACUACAUUGAGUCCCAGUAUAGUUCCUAACAAAGCCAGCUUUGAACAGGAAAAAGGAGGGUUUAAAUAUUGUCAUUCAAAGGAAAACAAAAAAAAAAUUCAUGAUAAUGAUUCAAAGGAGUACCUAUCGAAUUCAUCAAUACAACAAAGCCCUCCAUCUGCUAAAACAAGGGCCCCAGCUUCUAACAUCCACUCCCCUAGUAAUAUCAUAGAUAUAGUUAGCCCUCCAACAAGAUGAAACUUGCAUAAUUUGACAUAAAACAAGCAAAAGCCAUGAGUAUCAAGUGCUUGUCCUUCAAUACACAAAAAAAAUGACAAAACCACAAGGCCAUGCCAGCUCUACCACGCAAAACUUCGGUCAAACAACUUCUUUAACCCCCCCCCCCCCCUUCUUUUUUAAGUACUUUGGGGAUGGUUGAAGCAAUAAUAUUUUUUAAAAAAAAAAAAAUUUAGNNNNNNNNNNNNNNNNNNNNNNNNNNNNNNNNNNNNNNNNNNNNNNNNNNNNNNAGUACUUACAUAUAUCAACAAUCAAAUGGUUCAUUAUAGAAUAAUAUUUAGGUAAAGAAGUUGAAGAAAUGAAUUAAACAGACAGUGAUACCAACACCAUAAGGACAUAGUACAAAUACAAGUUCCACUUUCAUGAACCUUCAAAGUUAGACAGUCUGAAUUGUUUAAUGUACUUUCAACAUAUAUCCUACUUUCUAGCUCAAAUAACUCACUCACCUCCUUUCUACACCAUGGUCUGACAGUUGUUAUUGCCAUUAAAUUGUUACACCAGCCACCAGAAUAACAUAAUCAUCAUAGAAUCCCCUUUCAGUGAACUGUGAGCAUGGUUAAAUUUUCUGUUUUCUACAUAUCAAAAUCUAAAUUAUGAAAUCAUCUUUUUUUUAGUUUCUCUUGAAUUAUUUGAACAAGCAAGGGCAAAGCACUGUAUCUGCAGCCAAACUUUUGCCAGUUUUCAUGUGCUCUAGAAAUAUCACUCUUAGCCAGUAUAUGAUAUACUUCAGCAGAAUGAGCUUUAAUCAUGUUAUACAUUCCAUGUUGACUAUAACUCACAUUGUUGAAUCCAAUUCAUGAUUUUCUUCGAGUUCACAAAAUUAAUCAUGUUACAUAAUCACACUGUAUUACUAUCACCUAAAUAAUGACAAAUUUUCCGAAAGGCAAAGUGAAAGUUCAAAUAAAUGUGAAAUGAGAGUUACCACCAUCCUUGACUGCAGUAACAGUCAGUCCAGCACUAGUGCUUCCCAAGCCAGUAGUGAUGACAGAUCGGUUACUUAAUUUUGCCGCAAAUUUCAAGAACUGAGACUUUCCAGUACCUGUAAAAAAUUUACUUAAUACUUUUUACAUGGCAUCAAUCUUGCUAUUCUAACAAUUCAAAGAUAUGCACAUCCUGAAUCUUUGUAAAUCAUAGAGAAAUGUAAGUUGAGUAAGCAUGCUGAAACAGUCCAUAAAUACAUAAAUGCAUGUAACAAGUCCAUGUCUCAACUAUUUGGGAAAGGUUUGACCAGGUCCUUCUACUGAAUUAUGGUCUGAAUUAGGGGACUGACCGCACAGGGGGUUGGGGCUUUGGACAAAAAAUGCUUUCUCAGAUUAUAAACACUUGAAGUACUGCACAGGAUUGCAACCAAUUAUAAGUCUCUAGUGCCAAGAUAUUGAAACCUUGCUUAUGAAAUAAUAAAGUAGGUAAAUAAUCAUCAGCCAUGAUGCAGAUGAAUGAUAUUUUUCCAUAUUUCCAAGAAAACACCUCGUUCAAUUGCUUUCAAGGAAAAUGUCUCAAUGAAAGUGGUUAAUCAAUCCAAGCAAAAUUGUAAUUGUAGAUAAAUUUAAAAGCUAAAGAAGUGAACAUUCAAGAAAGAAGCCUAUCAUAUAAUAUAUUAAAAAGAAAAACUUUACCCGGGUCGCCAACCAGAAGCAAGUGAGACUCUCCUCGAAUCUUUGUCCCAGAAGCAUCAACAUGUUGAACGCCUCCAAUCAGUGUUAGUGCAACUGAGAUCAAGGAAGUAAAAGUUCAGUAUGUGCCUACUCAUGCAUUCACAUGUUUUGAGAGAGAGAGAGAGAGAAGAUAUUGGACGACAGAGCACCUGCCAGUUUUACGGUGAAGAGCCCAAAAACUUGGGGGCAAAUUCCUCGUAGAAUAGCAUUUCUCCCUGGGUGUAGAGUAAAUAAUAGGAAUAGCUUCACGUAAGUAAAUAUAUAAUUAUAGGAAAAUAAUGAAACAUGCCCCAUAAGGGAAGAAAGAAAGUAUGAAACCGCCAAAUGUUCACAAAGACAAAUUUCAUUUCUACAUGCACAUUUUGUAAGUGAAAAAAUACAUGACCAACUAUUCUUACCUUUCAAUGGAGUGUGUCUAAAGUCUGACCAGAAUUGCGUGAAUUUCAUAGUAAAAUCAUCAGGAAUAUCAAUGUCUGAUUUCAGCUCAUUAGUUCUCCUAAGAUGACAGAAAUAAAUUAAGAGAAAAAUAAGCAAGUGCAGUUAUUGUAAUUUCCACUUUAAAGUACUUUAGAAUAACGAACUGUUUUGACUAGAAUAAGACAAUUAGUUUGCAAAAGCAUGAAGGAAAUUAGAACAAAUAGCUGUUUUUUAAGGAGCUCAUAAACUCAAAGUAAAGCUUUUGAUGAGCUAUAAACAGAUGAAAGGGGGUGGGACAAGUUACAAAAGUGAAACAGGUUAACAUUUACCCAGAUGUUGAUAAAUGCAUUUCUUGUGAUUGUUUUGUACUCUGUUUUCACCCGUAGAUAAUAUAGGAAGGAUUGAGAAUCAAAGAGUACAAUUAAUUGACUUGCCAAGUACGCAAGGCUUUUACAUAAAUAAAUGUUAUUGGGAACAUAAUCUCAUUAUCAAAUAUGUGAAUGUCAUUUAAUCUCCAUCUACCCCUCUUGUCACUAUAAACUCAUUUUCCAACUUUCAGCUUGAUAUGUGUGCUAAAAAAUAAUUGAUUCAGUAAUUAGAAACCAUUUGCCAAAAUACAGAUGCUGCCAUGUUGGCCAGCAGAACUCAUCAAUUUUCAAAAUGGAGACCUUUCAAUAUGGCACAUGAUAUUGUAGAAAUGAUUAACAAGGGCACUGAACAGGAAAGUCACAUCAUCAGAAGGUCUAUAACUUGCCAUCAUUUAGUGUCAACUAAUUAUCUGAAUUGGAAUUUCAGUAUAUAUUGCUCAACUAAAUUACAUGAGGUCAAAAUUAUAAUAGGUCAGUAACCCCUUCAGUUGAUAAUCAAUUUGUGUUUCAGACCAAGUUACUAAGGAACAACUAUGUUGUCUCAAACAGAUAAAAUGUUUUAAACCUUAAGAGUUUUAGAUAAUCUUCCUUCUCUCUCCAGUUGUUUUUAUAAUGAUAGAAGCAUUACAGAAAGGCAACAAAAUCAAGGGUUUUGAUUCUUGUUACCUCACAUGGUUGGCAAUUAAUAUAGGAUCAAGGUCACAGCGCACAUCUUUUAAAUCAGGAGACCACUUAGCAGUCAAGAUCCCAGUAACAAUUACAUCAUCUGGACAAACAAGAGUUUAUAGCCCGAUGAAAAUUAGAUAAUUAAAAAACCCAAAAGCAAGUAUGAACUAAAUUAAAGAGAAAAAACAAAAACGAAGCAUUUAUCUACAAUGGAUUGCUAGCCAUGACAUCCAGAUGGUAUACUGAAACAUAAGGCAUGGUAAGGCAGAAGCUGCAAAUAUAAGAUAAAACAUCGUGUUAUACUCCAAGAAGGGCAUGGAAAACAGCUGGCAGCCGUCUAUAUAGCUUUCUCAUUAGUGAUACCUUAUUUCCCAGACUCCUUUAGGUUAGGUUUGUUACAGGACAAUCAUAAGCAUUAGAGUCAUAAUAGGUUUAAUGCUAAUUCAUUUUCGCUCAUUGCAGGCAAGCUCUGAAUUCAGUACAACUAACUUAUGAGCACUGUCAUUGCAGAUUUCUGAAAAGUUUGUUAGGGCAUUAACAUUUCCAGAUAAUAUCUUGGAAAUUAAAUUAAAAAAAGCAACUAAGUAGGUUGAACGACCUCCUCAACCUCUUAAUUUACUUUCUUGUCCAAGAUGUGUCUUAAUCAUAAGCUUGCAUUAUUAAAUUUGUGGUUGACUCUAGAAAAUCAUAUAUUCACAAGUUAUUGCUGCACAUACUAGACUAUGUUAAAUUAUUUCUGACUUUGGUUCUUGCUUCCUUCUGCCUCUAAAAGUUCAGUAUUGCUUGCAGGUUCACAACUUUUAUUCCGCAGCUACUCUCAAUCCCUCAUGUUUUUACCAUACGUAAUUCCUCUUUUAAUGAUCAAUAAUUCUAUUUAAGUUAGUUGAAUAAAAGCAAGUUGAAAGAAAUUUUUAGCCAGAUUGCUGAAGAGGGGAUCUUCCAUUUGCCACCUUGAACAACUACAACCCAGACCGAAACAAUCCUAUCUAUUCAAUUCAGGCAAUGGUUAAAGUCAUUAAACACCAUAAAAAUUCAUUUUGGCUGUUGUAGCUAACUUAGCCUGAAAUGUAGGCUUCAGUGUUUCCCAGCGAUAUUACUAGUACCAGAUCUUUGUAAUUGAAGUCGAGCUGUUAAACAAUGACUUCUUCACAAGAGAAGAUCCUAUCUCAAUUCAACCCUGACUAACCUUCUAUUAGAUUUUCCUUCUUAGAAAAACAUAAUGCAACUUACUAAAUCCAAUGGAAGACUGGAUUUAAUAUGUAAUUUAUGGUUAAAUUGUUUCUCUUAAACCUCAGUGAAUGCAUAACAUUAAAAAGACAAAGUACAUUCCAUAGCAGAAUAAGAAAAGUUCCCUAUGCGGACAGAAUCAAACAUUGGUAAUGUUCAGAAAAAAAAAAAAUGUAGAGAGAAAUGAAAAACCAGGCUUUGCAUAGUGUGGUACCUCCAGCUUUAACAAUGUCAACAAGAUCGUCCUGAAGAAUGACUAGAAUUGAACGAGGAAUCACACCAACGCCCAACACCUGUGUGCUUUCUUGAAUUUUAAUUUCCUGAUAAUCAUGACAGACUGUAGUAUUUUCUACGCACUGGAAUUUAGUGCCUUCGCAAGGAUUGGACCUCUGUUAUUGAACAAGAAAUCUGUUACCAAAAGUAUAUUUAUUCUAUAAUAACAACAUGUACCGCAGACAAAAUACUUCCAAAACUACAUUUUAAAGUAAUAAAACUAAGAAGAAAAGAGAAUCAAAACUCUUUCUUGCAAGACAAAAGAUCAAUUAAAGUGGCAAUAAACCUGAGAAGGGCAGAUUGAUGGAAGUGUUAUCGAGUUUCUUGUUUCAAGCUCAGGAUAAAGAGGAAACCUACAAAUAUUUUCAACCCAACUAUAGUCAGCUUACAAGUAGGAAUAUCAUGUGAGCUGCAAAAGGAAAAAGUAUGUGACAUGUAAAUUAGAUAUCGUGAAAAUAUGUUUGAGUGUGAAACUCAAAUCUAGCCCCUCAAAGAUAUAAAAGUAAAUUAGAUAUCGUGAAAAUAUGUUUGAGUGUGAAACUCAAAUCUAGCCCCUCAAAGAUAUAAAAGAAUGAAAGAGCUAAAACUUUGCAUUUGAAAUUAACUGAAUGUAUAUGCAUACUACCGAAUUACAAAUAUAAAGCAAUUAAGUUGCAAUUAUCCAGGUUUUUUUUGACAUAUUGAGUAAUAAUUGCAUCGAAAAAUAAAAUAUUUUGGACCUCUACCCACCACAAAAGUAAUCUGGUGCAAAAGCAGUGUAAUCCAAGCAGAGUGUGAUUAACUUCUAACAACCAGCACAUCUUACAUAAUUAGACGUAACAUGCACUGAUACUGACAUAAACAAGAAUAAAGUAAUCAUUCCGCAAGGAAACUAAGAGACUCUGGGUUUAAUGCUUGGCAACUAUUGAGUAUGCUCAGUUGAUAGCCUUGCUCAAUCUUGUUUAUAACUAGUACAAUAUGAAGAUCACCACAAGCCUCAGACACUGACUAGAACAUUUUCCAAACAACCAGCUUUCAAUCACUCAAAAGAGUUCUCUUAACUUGAAGAUACUUUGUUUAUGAAAGAAACUAAAGGAGUGAUGCCCCCAGAAUUAGAUUAUGCCACCUUUAGCUAGCAAGGCUACUGCUGACUGGCCUUGCUCUGCCAGAAGCUCCCUGUUUCUAUCCCUUAAGAUAGCAUGUUUCAUUCAGUAAGUCAUACCCCUUCCUUAAUACGAGUAAAAGAAAAGCCAAGAUUGAGCCAUUGACAGAAGGUACUAAUUCUAACCAUAAUUCUAUAAUCUGUACCAAGUAAUUUAGCCACAAGUAUAUACAACAAAGCUAUAUAAUCAAAGUAAACCAAAAUUCUGACAUUACAAGUACACUGUACAGUCGACAUACGUAUUUAUUGUAUGUGCUAGAAAACGAACUUACAUGUGCUUGCAUUUCUUGCACUGAUAUGUCCUCUGCCCCUCAUACAUCUUCACUGCUCCGGACCGAAUUACAGUCCCCUUGAGCGUAAGAAGAAUUCCUCGGUGUUUCACUCUCACACGCCCAAUACUAGGAAAAGUCUCUGUGCCACAUGCAAAGUCACCCAUAAAUAGACGAUACAAAGCAAAUAGCAAUCAAAAGGAAUAUAUAUGAAAGGAACUGAGCGCAUUGAAUAGAAGCAAACCAGGACAUUCAAGAGGGGAACCGCUGACAUUGAAUCGAACAUGAAUGAAUUUCUUUUCAACCCCUUUCUCAUGUGAUGCCAUGCCCUUCAGUACUCUUUUCUGUACAUACGCAUAUCAAAUGCAGGCAAAAUAUGUAGUUAAAUUACAGCUGCGAAAAUUUCAUAGAGAACUUAAUAUAUUUGCCCAUAGCCAUAUCAAAAUCCCUAUUUCUAGAUAUUUUCCUGGUCUUGGUCCAAAGAGGCAAAAACUACAUAAAGAGGUACACAUUUCAUACCCACUCGAAAUUCGUGAAUUUAGGAAGGUUAAAUCGGGCAAGCAAGAAUAUGAGCAAAAACCCACAUCCAAUCCUUAAUUCUGGAGGCUUUUUAUAAGAAGCAUAAAACUAAAUACAUUGUGUGUGUGGAUUUGAUUACGUGAGCCAAAAUGGCGGCUUCGUCAAAGAAUCUCAAGUAGUCUGUUGGGUUGGCGAAGACGAGGCGGGCUAGAGGAGGAUCGGCAUCCAUCAGCUCUGCAUAACUAUACAGCAAAAAAGAGAAAGAGAGAAUGGAAAUGAGAAAAAGACUAACAAAAGCUUAGAAAGAGAAGAAAGGAAGAGAGAGAGAGAGAGAGGGAUCCUACUCAACGAAGAGAGGGUAGUGGAGUUUAGGGUCAGGAGAGAGAGCGAUUGAGUGGAGCUGAUCGGAGUUGCAGCGUAGCAGAUAUUCCACCGCGGAAUGCAGCCUUAUUGGUACCACCUCUUCCUUAUGCGAAUCCAUGGCGUCAUUCGUUUGAUUAUGAUCAUAGAAUGAGAAAAGCCAAGGGCUAUCAGCCAUGGAAGGGCGGGAAAACGGCUCUAAAUACUUUGGAGAUGGCCCAUCAUGGGCUGGGCCGGUUUGGGCUUGAGGGCUUGAGGCACGUUUGGUUCACAAAACAGUUAAAUCAUUCUCAUUUAGUUCAUCCUUGAAUCAAGAAAUAAUGGCAAUUGUUUAAAAACAUGAAAUAAUUAAUACCGAUCUCCUCUUAGCAUUAACUAUUCUGCUCAGUGCGGAAUCUACCUCUGCUCACUUUAAGAAAUGAUUAAGCAAACUUAAGUAAUGCAAAUUAUUAUAUUAUUAAUAAUAAAUUACUAACCUUAAGUAAUAUUGUAAUAAAUUAUUAAAUCAUAAUUUUUUAAUGUUUUAAUGUAACAUUAUUAAUUAAUUAAUUUAUUCUUCCAUUAUUAUAAAAUUACUAAUAAUUUGUCCAUAACAAUAAUUUAUUCAUUCAUUAUUAUUUAAAUUAUUAAUUUAUUAAUGCAUUAUUAUUAAAUUAUAGAUAAUAAUUUAUUAUUAAAAUAUGAAUUAAUAAAAAAUUUAAAUUAUUAAUAUUUCAAUAAUAAAUUAUUAAUAUUGCUAUAAUAAAUUCUAUUUUUGACAAGUCAGUCAAAAUCACAAAUUUAUAUGUUUCUAAAAGAGGUACUGCACAGUUCAAGAAACUAAUACAUUCCAAUGCACAUGCCGCAGUAACAAGCUUGUAUAUCUAUGGGUAAUUAUUCAACAAAACUUUGAUCUCGUAAGAACUCAUCCCACUUGCAUCCUUACUUUGUCAUGGCAAACGAAAUGCCAAUACAGUUCUUAUGGUAUAAAAUUGCUUCACUUUAAAGAAAUAUGCAUUUUUUUUUAUUAUAACUACUUAGAUCUCUCGAUUUUCCCUUACUUCCAGAUUCCCAGCAGAAUUUAUUGCAUCUUUAAAACAUUGGUGUGAGCAAAAUUUUUGCGAAAAAAAAUAAUUUUUCAACAUUUCUAUGAGAGUAGCACCGUUUUCAUCAACAUCAACUUUUUCUUCAAAAGGAACAUCGAUGCGGUGCGGAUGAGGCAUAAUAAAAAUCAUUGACAUGCAUUGUUACCUUGUGCUUAUCACAUAAAUCACGAUACUAGUGGUGCAAUGUAAGAACCAUCAAUUAAUUUACAACACCGAUGCAUAAAAUUGAAACAUUAAUACCAUAAUAUGGUGGGAUGUUGUCCAAAUAGCGUAAUAAAUUCCUUCCAACCUUUGAAUGACCGGUUACCAUAGACUAUUUACGUAAGGAGUAGCCCCAAGGGGGAGUACAUGAUAGGCGGUGGGGAGGCUGCCCACUCUAUAAUUAACUAAUUUAGCCACCUGGUUCACUAAGCUGUGUUGGACACCCACACCGUAGAUAAAAACUCUUUUGGAAAUUUGUUUUCAAACUAGAGGCAACUUGAAAACAUUUCAGCAAACAUUUAACAUUUAGAAUAAAGAUAAGGUUUGGCUUAUAGAAAAUUACCAUGUUGUCUGCGUACUGAAGGUGGGACAUAAAAACACCAAUUGAGCUAACCUCUAUCCCUUUAAACAACCCCCUGUCCACUACACUAUUGACACACGCUUCAAAAGUUUCGACGGCAAGAUUGAAGAAAACGGGGGAUAAGGGACAAUCUUGUCGAAAGCCUCUACUCAUUUUAAGUUCUCUUGUUGGGGGGUUGUUAACGAGGACGGAGAUUGAAGCAGUAGAGAUACAUGACAUUAUCCACAUACACCACUUUUCAUCAAAGCCUAUCAACUUCAUGACAAAUUCAAGGUAGCUCCAUGCAACACUGUUAAAAGGCUUUUUCAAAAUUAACUUUCAAGAAAACACCACCGGUGUCAUUCUUCUUCAUUAUGUCCACCACUUCGUUGGCUAUUGAAAUUCCUUGCCAAUGAAAUAACAUGCUCACCAACUUUACGCCCUCGCUCAAGCCAAGACCGUUCUAAAAAGGAAGUGGAAAUGUGUACAAACUUAGGGAAAAAAGAAGAAACUAUGACAUUGUGCGUGUUGAUGGCAAUAUGCAGUGAUCACCUUUCGGCAAGAUAAUUAGUCCUGAGGGCUCAAAUCCAUCUGUGGCAAGUCAUCAGCUUCAUCUUGAAACUUGAGUAACUUCCGGUUCCCGAGAUAAUCAAUGACCCGUCAUAGAAGUUUGUCACAAGUAAGAGUGUGAAUAUAACCAUGAUGAGAGGAUAAAUUUUAUUGAUCCUUUACCAAAGAAAGGGACAGCAUCAUCCAUAUUCCUCAUUCUCUGCAUAUAGUUGAUGUUACAUGAGACUUCAAGUAAAAAAUAAUAAAAUAAAAGGUUAACCCAAACCAAUUUCUGUUCAGUAAAAAUGACAGAUUUAAAUGUCGUUGAUAUAGGGACUUCAUAGUGGAUGAAACUAAAAUAUUCCAAUAUAUAUGCCACAGUAACAAGCUUGCAUAUCCAUAGGUAAUUAUUCAACAAAUUUUUAUAAGAACUUAUCCCAUUUGCAUCCUUAUUUUCUCAUGCCAAAAUAAUGUCAUACAGUUUUUAUGGUAUAAAAUUGCUUCAUUUAAAAGAAAUAUACAUUUUUUGAAGGUUGGAGUAUUAUCUCAUCAAUUCUGGUUAAUUGUUUAAUAGUAUCAAAAAAUAAUUCGUUUUGACUAAUAUUUUAUAACUUUAAAAGGAUCAUUGUCACAUUACACCUUUUUGUAGGUGCUAAAUUGAACAUUGGCUUAUUCUUUGGUGUUACUUUUUAAUUAAUCUUAAUUAUAAAAAAUAAAAGAUAAACUUCACAUGAAUUUUUUAUAAUAUGAUAUGUUCUCACAUAGCACUUUGAAAUUAUUUUCUUCCUACAUAAAACCUUGUGAUGUAAGGCAAGGGGAGGAGGGGGCCUAUGUACAAGUAUCUACUUACACAUAUUGAACCUGCUGCUGCUGCUCUGGGUGGUGGAUCACAGUCAUCACCACGCACCCGCACAAUUGAAACAAAUGCUAAAAAGUGACUUGGCUAGCUUACAUGAAAUGCACAAAUAUGUUCAGGAUUGAUGCACAGCAGUUAGGCCUCUCAUCCAGCAAAGGUGGGAGGAGCUUGCUAAUUUAUCAUGUACAUAAAUCCUACAUAGGUUCGAGGCAUAGAUGCAGUAGUCAUAUCAAAAGAAAUAUGUUUGAUGCAAAGUGCAGGUGUUUUCUUUUCUUUUUACUUGGAAAAGAAAGAAAAAAAAUCAAAUUGUUAUUUGUUGCCUGAAAUUAUUAUACAAAUGAAAACAGUCUAAAGGGUUGUGGGGAGCUUUCUCUAUGUCCAACUUGAAUAUGUAUCUUUCAGAAUACAUUUAAGAAUCGAAAAAGUUAUUCUAAAAAUCAGAGUUUUCCUUAGCAGUGCAAUAAAUAAGGUAUUAUGUGAAAAAAAAAUCAUACACGUAAGUGAAAAAAAAAAACCUUAUUUUUUCUUUUUUUUUUAAAUCGGUUUGGUUUAUUUGUAAUAAUUCAUGAAUAAAAAUAACACAAGUUCUUUUCUUUCGCUUUGCAUUUGUGCCCUCCUUCGGAAACCCAUAUUGCUUAUUUCUGUACGCUUGGAUGGAGAAGAAAAAGGUCGUAACGUUUGCACCGAACACCUUCUGUCCGAUCAGACGCGGAAGCUUGAGCGCCAGGGGCCUGCCCACAAGCCACUUGACUCUGAUGCCGAUAAUGACGUGGUGGCGUCUGAUUCGCCAGGGGACAAGCGCCCCAGCCUUGAUGACGAGAAAAGUGGUGGGUCAGGUAAUCUUCAUAUUCUUUUCGUUUGUUUGUUUGUUUGUUUGCUUAAGGUUAAGGGUUUAUUAAUGUACAUUUCUUGGUUUCGAUUGGUGGAUAUCGAGAAUGAAUUUAUGGGUGUAAUUUUAUUUCUAAGGUUUCCUUGUGAUUGUUUGUGAUGCUUUUGAUUAAUUGAAGACGUUCUUUCGGGAACAGAAGAGUUGUUCGGGAGAAGAUUGUGGGGUUAUAGGGGUAAAAUAGUUGAACGUGAAGCGAGAAAACUGAGGGCCCUUUCAUCAACUUAACCCGUAGGGCAGGGAAUAAAGAGUGGGAGAGGUCUUGGAAGAAAAGAGAGUGCUGCAGAAAGAGGAAGGAGACCAACAAAAAUCAGCUAAAAUUUUUGUACUAAAAUUAGCCAAUCACAAUCAUGAUUUGGAAGGAACUAUCAAAAUAUUGUAUGAAGCUCACAUUAUAAAGGAUGGGCGCUUACAUAAUUCUUUGUUCUUGCAGUAAUCUCUUUCUCUUUUGAAGGAAGAAUUGCAUGCUCUAAGUGGCACUUUACCUUUUUAUCAGUUCAGAUUUUUUAGUUGCACAUCCAAACUAAUUUUAUAAUGCCAAACCAGGAAUGACUACUCCAAUCAAAGCCAUCAAACGCUAGGGAUAAAUAUAAGUCCUAGUUCCAAAGAUAUAUCAUUCUAUUAUAUAAAGGCUUCUUUGAAACAUCUUUGAUUCAACCUGUAUUAGAAAUUUGUUCUGUUUCUCUUUAUUUUAUUUUCCCAGUUUGCUGGUAAUUUUGACUUCAAGUUUCAUGCUCAUAAGUGAACAUUGUUCUUUCUCAGGAACUGCAGAACUAGUCACUGGAAAAAGCAAUUUUGAAAGGCCAGUUGUAUACUCUUUCAAUGAUUUAAGAGCCUUCACCAACAACUUCAGUGCAGAUAACUUGAUUGGAUUAACUCAAUUUGGUAGACUUUACCGUGGGAAGAUUGAGAAAGGAAAGGAAGCUCGAUUUGUUACAGUAAAGACGUGGGAUGAGAGAUCAGACCGUUUCUUGUACCCUCCAAAUAAGACUUUGAUGCUCAGGGUAUGUUUCUGAGAUAAUAUUUUUUCUUCAUUGCAUUUUCUUCUACUGAAUUGUUUAUGAUGGCUGUAUUUUCUGUGUUGCAGGAAGAAGCGAUGCUUUUAACUCAUCCAAGCAUGAGGGGUCACCCAAACUUAGUCAAAUUGGUUGGUGGUUGCCGCCAAAAAGAGAUGAAGGCUGCUGUUUAUGAUCUGAAUCCCCUGGAUACUCUGCAUAACUAUAUGCAAAGGGGUACCUUCAUUGUAAGUUUUAUAUCUGAUUCUACUGCAACCCUUUUUAUUCUUUCUACCUGUAAAUUUUGAUUUAGUUGUAGAGUGGUUUGAAACUAUGCUAUUAUUCUGUUUGAAGAAGCUUAGUAAAGUAAGGGAACAAGGUAGAUUGAAAGUUCACUAAAGUUUAUCGUAGGGAAAUUAGCGAUAUGUUUUCUCCUCUGUUGCUCCAACUCAGCAAAUUAGCUGGAAGAAUCUGUGUCUGACCAACCUGACAAAUGUGGGCAUUAUUUCAUCUGCCUAGUUGUCUCGUUAAUUUUCUUUGUUUAUAUUCGGCCAAAAGAAUAGAUGGGUUCUUGACAUCAUCACCAUGCAUAGUCCAUUCUCUUUUUUUAGAUUUAGGAGGCUACCUGGUAAAGUAAUAGAUUUCAGUACCCCCGCCCAUAUUUGGAUUCACAUCUAUAUAUCUUGAAUAUUAAGUUUUGACAAGCUAGAGUCUUAGAUCACUACCAACACUGAGUCAAAGCAGCAUAGGUUUGCUGGCAAGCAAGGGAAAUACUUUUUGCAGUAUAAUUAAUUGGUGAAGUCUUUUCAGAGAUGAAAAGAGUGGGAUGCCUGCAUGUGUAACUCUCAUUUCUGGGAAGUUAAUGUUUUGAUCUUCAAAAUGUAUAUGUAUGCAUUGAUGGAAAAAUAUACAAUAGCAGAUGACUUGAUUUGUAUUUCAUGCACAGAUGAUUUGAUUGGAUCUAAAAUUAUUGGGGUAGCAGUUAGAUCAAAAACCUAUUCAGUUAAUUUUGGAUUGUUUGGUUUGUAUUGCAUGUGUAGAUGAUUUUUCUUGGAUCCAAAGAAUUAAGGUGGCACUUGCAUUUGCCCAUCUUCUGAUGUUUCUACAUUGUCGAGAUGAGCCUUAUGUGCUCCACAAUAUCGAUACACGUCAUAUAAUGCUUGAUCAGGUUUAUUUUCACAGCUUACCUUCAGAUAUGACGUAUUUAUUGUUGAAUCUAUUUUCAACAUUAUAUUAAAGCUUUUAUUUUAAUAAACAGGACUGUAAUCCCAUUCUGUUUGACUUUGGACUGAUAAGUGGAGGAAUUAUUGGUAAGAUGAGCUUUGUAAAAGACCGCGCAUUCAUGACUCCUUGCUAUGGUGAUGUACAUUCGUUUAAAAUAGGUGAUUUAUCCUUUGCACUUAUGCUAUUUUGAACUGAAUGUAGUUCAUGAUGAUGGAAAUGCAUCAUUUGAAGUGAGAAGAAGCCAUGUCUCCAUAUGAGUCUGCAUCUUCACUUUAAAAAGUGAAUGAUAGGUGAUGUUUGUUCAGGUUGCUUGGUUAUUAAUUAGCUUGAUAGAUUUCUACAUAAAAAAUCUAUGAAGACACUUUUACAUAUUAUAAAACCCACAAACUCAUUUUGAUGAAUUUGAGUCACAGAUGGACUUUGCUUCAACCCAUGGUUUCACCACUGUGGGUUGCAAAAAAUCUUGUGUACUUUGCUAAAUUGAUAUAAUGAUAACUAAUGACCCUAGCAUCUACAGUAUGGCCUUAGUGUGCCUCUAGAUCUAAGCCUUAAUCUCUUGCAUCGGAGUGCUUGUUCAAAGUUGAUAUGAUUAUUCUUGUAGGUGGAGCUGCUGGAAAGCCAAGUGUGGGGAAUGAUGUGUUUUCAUAUGCUGUGGUUCUCCUGGAGCUGAUAUCUAAAAGAAUUACUACUGAAGAGGAGGGGUGCAGUGAUGAUGCUCAAUUCACAGAUAACUGGGCUCUGAAAGAAUAUAAGCCUGGAUAUUCUCUUGUGCCCCAGAGCUUGCAGAAUCAGUCCGGCUAUGGUGCUAGUGAUGGACUGACUAUAACAGAGUUGGCAAUGCAGUGUAUAAAAUAUUACCCCAGUGAGCGACCGUCAAUGGAAAGGGUAGUUGAGUGUCUAGAAAAUUUGUCAGUUGUCAAAACCCACGGUGGAGAAAUGCUAUUGCAUGGAUUGUAGUAUGUGAUUUGCUGGGAAUUCCUUCUGUAUUGGCCUAUUAGAUGAGCUAAGAAUUCCUGUUACUUCCGUGCAACCCAGUACAUUGGAAAAUCAUGUACUUCCUAACUUUUUUGCAUUGAAUUUCUUUGUUCAUUUCGCUAUUAGGGUUACUUGUGGUAUGUUCUAUUUUUUGUUUAGCACUAAAAAGAAUAAUCGUUUGAGGAAAUUAAGAAAAAUAACUCUUUUCAUAAGUUUAAUUUAAAAAUAUCUGUUAUUAUAAUUUUAAUUAUUUUUAAUCAACCUUUGAUAUUACUUGACAAUAAUAUUUUUAAAUAAUUAAAAUAAAUUAAAAUAAUUUUGAUUUUCUCUAUUUUACUAUUUAAAUAAAAAUUUUAAAAUUAAAUUUUUGAUUUGUUUUUCUUGUCAAAUAUUGUUUAUUUCGUGAUUUAACUUUUUUCGUAUCUCAAAGUUGACAGAUUACAAUUGAUUAAUUAUAUCUGUAAAUUAGAAUAUUGUUUGACUUUAGUAAUUUAAACUUAACUGCGAAUAGACAAAUCAAUUAGUUAGAAGGUAUUACAUUAUUAGUUUUUAGGUAUUGUGUUAGUGAUUUUUAUAUAUUGUGAGACUGAUUUUUAAUAGUGUGACUUGAUCAUUACAUUUUUUGUUUUCAGACAUUAUCUGAUUUAGACAUUGCGUGAUUGGUUUUAGAGAUUACGUGAUUAGGUUUGUAUGCAUUGUGUGACUGAUUUUUAGAUAAUGUCUAAUCAUGCAAUGUCCUAUUAGUCAGUCACGUAAUGCUUAAAACUUUACGGAAUUGGUGCAGGUUGCACACAUCAUCUUCGUUAAUCUCGCAAGGAGUCCUCCUAGACCGUUUUUCAUACUUCCCAAAUUAUCAUUUCCGUCAUCAUAAGAAUCCAAAAGAUGUAUACCUUCCACCAUGUCGACAAAAUCGUUAUUGGAAGGCGACGAUCUCCUGUGGCCGACCACCUAUGUCAGUUGCAAGUCCCACAUGGUCUGCGACAUUUGGGAUACGCAACCAAAAAAAAUUUAAUGGAGAUGAAAUUCACCAAAAAGGAAGACCCAUAGAGCAAGUUAGAUGAAAUCUCUACACUUUUCUCGUUCAAUCAAAAUUAUGGUUAUAACGGCUUUAAUCAAAAUUUUGUCUUCUCAGAUUGUUUAGGAAUUUUGUAGAGUGGGGAGUUUGAUAAACAUUUAAUAUCUUUGUUUGCAACAACAAUAAAUCAAAUUAGAUUUAGGUUAUUUUAAGUUCUUUUUAUUCUAAAAAUAUAAAUAAAUAAUUUUAAGAUAUGUGAUUGUGAAAAAGAAAAAAAAUUAAAUCAAUCGCUAAAAAUCCAAUCAAUAAUAUUAUUGGUCAUGUCAUCUACCAUAUAGACUGUGUGACAAUAUCAAAUUUUAAAAUAACUUUUUUUAUCGAAAGGCUAAACUUUAAAAUAAUUUACCAACUUGAUUAACAUAAUUAGUCAUUAAUUAAUAAUGAAAAUGAAAAUAAAAAUAUUUAAUUAAAUAUAAUAAAAAUGUCAAGAUUAAGUUAAAUUUUUUAAUAUAAUUCAAAUAUUCAUUUUUCACAUAUUAUACCUUUUUUUUAAUACAAAAGUGAGAGGAUGCCUUAUGACAUGCACGCUUAGUAUACCAACAACACAAUUUUCCGUUUGCUAGAACGAAGAUAUUACGUCAACAAAACACAAGGAUUUUGGGAUGAAAAGGUAGAAAAAUGGGAAAAAAAAUAAAGUUAACUAGAACUUAAUAUAUAAAAAAAAACCUUCUUCAUUAAAUUAAAUUGUGAGCAAUUUUGUCAUUAAAAAAAUAAAUAUUUAAAGUAUAAUACUUUAUGCCAACAAUAUUAUAAAAUAUCAACUGUGGUGAAAUUAUUAGUAAUUUUUUAUUUUAAACGAAAAAUUUCUUUAUCUUUAAAUUUUGAAUCAAAUUAAAAAUACAAUUGACUUUUCAAUUAAAAGUGCAUGAUAAAUUUGAUCGUUGUUCUAAGUAAAUGGAAAAAUUAGGAUCGUUUCUCUAUUAUUGUUUAGUUUAAAGCCUAACAAAAUUAAAUUUUGAUUCAAUCUUGAAUUUUUCAAACCACAAAAUUAUUCAAUCAGUGAUGAAUAUGCGAUAUUUAAGUUUUUACAUAUUUUACAAUAGUUAUAUAUAUUGAUUGUAAAUAUCAUCAAGCAACAUCUUAGUGGUUAAAAACAGCAAAAAAAAGAAAAACAUCUUAAUGGUUAAAUUUAAAUUUUUAUCUUAAAGAUCUCGAAUUUGAAUCAUGAAAUAAAAGAAAAAAAACUGAACUUUAAUAAAAAAAGUUGAUUGAAGAUCAAUUUCAAUGGUGGCAAAAAAGAUACAGCACGUUUCUAGUGAUGGAAUAUUAUCUCAUCAGGUCUGGCUAAUACUUUGUUGUGUGUCAACAAAAUGAUUGCUUUCACUAGCAUUUUUAUAGCUUUAAAGUAUCAUGGUCACUCAACACAUUUUUUUCAGGUGCGAAAUUGAGCAUUUGCUUAUUAUGUCGUGCUAAUUCUGUUGUUAACCCCAAUUUUAAAAAAUAAAAGCAUAAGUAGGUUUUUCUUUUCUUUGGUGGCUCGGUUUGGUUUGAUUUCGUUGUAAUAAUUCAUGAAUAAAAAUAACUCAAGUUCUUUUCUUUUGCUUUGCAUUUGUGCUCUCCUUCGGAAACCCAUAUUGCUUAUGUCGGUAUGCUUGGAUGGAGAGGAAAAAGGUCGUAACGUUUGCACCCAACACCUUUUCGUCCGAUCAGACUCGGAAGCUUGAGCCCCAGGGCCCUGUCCACAAGCCGCUUGACUCUGAUGCGGAUAAUGACGUGGUGGCGUCUGAUUCGCCAGGGGACGAGCUCCCCAGCCUUGAUGACGAGAAAAGUGGUGGGUCAGGUAAUCUUCAUAUUCUUUUUUUGUUUGUUUGUUUGUCUGUUAUACCUUGGGGUUUAUUAAUGUACAUUUCUCGGUUUCGAAUGGUGGAUAUCGAGAAUGAAUUUAUGGGUGUAACUUAUUUUUCUUGGUUUUGAUUGGAUCUUUGAUUCAAUCUGCAUUAGAAAUUUGCUCUGUUUCUCUUUGUUUUAUUUUCCCAGUUUGCUGGUAAUUUUGACUUCAAGCUUCAUGCACAUUAGUGAACAUUGUUCUUGCUCAGGAACUGCAAAACCAUUCACUGGAAAAAGCAAUUUUGAAAAGCCAGUUGUGUACUCCUCCACUGAUUUAAGAGUCUUCUCCAACGACUUCAAUGCAGAUAACUUGAUUGGAUUAACUCAAUUUGGUAGACUUUACCGUGGGAAGAUUGAGAAAGGAAAGGAAGCUCGAUUUGUUACAGUAAAGACAUGGGAUGAGAGAUCAGACCCGUUUCUGGUACCCUCCGAAUAAGGGUUUGAUGCUCAGGGUAUGCUUCUGAGAUGAUAUUUUUUCUUCUAUUUAAUUGUUCAUGAUGGCUGUAUUUUCUGUGUUGCAGGAAGAAGUGAUGCUUUUAACUCAUCCAAGCAUGAAGGGUCACCCAAACUUAGUCAAAUUGAUUGGUGGUUACCGUGACAAACAGAUGAAGGCUGCUGUUUAUGAUCUGAAUCCCCUGCAUACUCUGCAUAACUAUAUGACGAGGGUACCUUCAUUUUAAGUUUUAUAUCUGAAUCUACUGCAACCCUUUUUAUUCUUUCUACCUGUAAAGUUUGAUUUUGUUGUAGAGUGGUUUGAAACUAUGCUGUUAUUCUGUUUGAGGAAGCUUAGUAAAGGUAAGGGAAUAAUGUAGAUUGAAAGUCCACUAAAGUUUAUUGUAGGGAAAUGAAAGAUAUGUUUUCUCCUCUGUUGCUCCAACUCGGCAAUUUAGCAGGAAGUGUCAGUGUCCAACUGACCUGACAAAUGUGGGCAUAUUCCUGACUUGCUCUGGAGGCUUUGCAUGUAGAUGUGGCUUCCUAAAACUAAAGUGUAAAAAGAAAAAGAAACAAGUAGAUACGAAUGAAAUGGUGGAGGAAACCAGAGAGAGAUCAAGAACCAGAGAAUAUAAGAAACAGAGGGAGUCCCUUAGGCUUUUGGCCUUUGUUCGUUUUGGUUUCAAAUGUGGGUUCUUGGUGAAAGCACCUAGUUGCUGGGCUUCUGUCUAGUUGUAUCGUCGAUUUUCUUCGUUUACAUUGGGCCAAAAAAAAAAAUAGAUGGGUUCUUGACAUUAUCGCCAUGCAUAAUCCAUUAUUUUUGUAGAUUUAGAAGUCUAUCUGGUAAAGUAAUAGAUUUCAGUACCCGUGCCUGUAUUUGGAUUCACAUCCAUAUAUCUUGAAUAUUAAGUUUUUUCAAGUCAGACUCUUAGAUCACUACCGAGUCUGAGUCAAAGUAACAUAGGUUUGCUGGCAAGCAAUUGAAAUACUUUUUCAGUAUAAUUAAUUUGUGAAGUCUAUACAGAGAUGGAAAAGAGUGGGGUGCCUGCAUGUGUAAGUUACAUUUCUAGGAAGUUAAUGUUUUGAUUUUCAAUGUGUACAUGCUUGCAUUGAUGGAAAACUUUACAGUAGCGGAUGAUUUGAUUUGUAUUUCAGGCACAAAUGAUUUGAUUGAUCUAAAAUUAUUGGGGUGGCAGUUAGAUAAAAAACCUAUGCAGUUAAUUGUCCGACCGAUUUGUAUUGCGUGUACAGAUGAUUUUUCUUGGAUCCAAAGAAUUAAGGUGGCACUUGCAUUUGCGUGUCUUCCGAAGUUUCUACAUUGUCGAGUUGAGCCGUAUGUGCUCUACAAUAUUGAUACAACUCAUAUAAUGCUUGACGUGGUUUAUUUUCACAGGACUAUAAUCCCAUUCUGUUUGACUUUGGACUGAUUAGUGGAGGAAUUAUUGGCGAGAUGACCUUGGUAAAAGACCGUGCAUUCAAUGGUGAUGCACUUUGGUUCGCAGUAGGUGAUUUAUCCUUUGCCCUUAUGUUAUUAUUUUUUUUUAUAAUUGGAGAAGGGAAUUUGAACUCUGCUCUUUAGGUAGGGAGAUUAUACAUCAACUAAUGAGACAAAUAUUUGGAUGUCACUUACGUUAUUUUUAAUUGAAUGCAGUUCAUGAUGAUGGAAAUGCAUCAUUUGAAGUGAGAAGCCACUUACGUUAUUUUUAAUUGAAUGUAGUUCAUGACGAUGGAAAUGCAUCAUUUGAAGUGAGAAGAGGCCAUGUCUCCUUAUGAGUCUAUAUCUUCACUUAAAAAGUGAACUCGAUUAUUAAUAACCUUAAUCAUUUGAAGUACUCGAGUAUUUGGUUCAUUAGUUGGUAUAUUUAAUGAUAAAAAUUCUUAAAAUAUAAUAUAAUUUUAUAAAUUAAUAAUAUCAAUUAAAUAAUACUUUUGACCAGUCUUGACUUGAGAUUAAUAUGAUAAAUUAAUAAUUCGUUAAAUUUAUAAGAUAAUAUAUUUAAAAAAACAUAUAAGUCUCACUUGAUCUAUAAAUUAAUAAUCUCCUUAUAGGUCAAAAUUAUAGUCAAUACCCACUUAUUUUUUGUAAUUGUGAAUUUUGUCUAAUUUUAUUCCUCUACCCAAAAUCAAAAGGUGAUUUGAUAAGACCACAUCACUUUCUAGGUUCAUGGUACUGACAUGACUACCACGUCGCUUUUUAUGAACCUUUUUUUUCUCUUCACCUAAAAAAUAUGUGCUCACAAGGUUCAAAUCAAGACUUCUAACAAGCAUAUGUAAGUCCUUGUCACCAUACCUAAGUCAUAACUUUUGAUUAAUUCUUGCUUUUAUUUCUUUUCUUUUUUCUUUUUCUUUCUUAUUUUUUUUAUUUUUCUCUAAAACUACAUCAUUUUAAGAGUUCUUACACUCUUAAAAACCCUAAUCAUAAAAGUAUUUUUUUUUCUUUUUUUCCCUUCAAAAGAGAAAAAAAAAAGAGGAGGUAGAGAGAGGGGAAAGGAAAAAAUGUGAAAAAAAAAAUUUUAUAACUAAGGUUUUUGAGAGUGUGAAAAAACCCAAAAAGACGUAAUUUUGGGAGAAUAAAGAAAGAAAGAAGAAAAGAAACAAAAGUAAGAAUUAAUAGACAGCAAAGGCUUUGAUACGGUGGCAAUGACCUCGGCAUAUUUACUAGAAGUCUUUGAUUCGAACCUCAAUUAACGACUAAAUUAAUUAUAUAUAAAAGGUCUUUGUAAAAUAUGAUUCAAAUGUUACUUAUUUUCUCUUGAAAUUGAUAUCUCUUUAAAUUUCUUCUGUAACUUUUUUUUCCUAAUGCAUUAAGAAAUUAAUGUUUAGUAUUGCAUGAGAAAAAAAUACACAACACAUACAUAUUAAGUUCAAUAUUUUGAAAAAAAUAAAAAAUAUCUUGAUAAAUUAAAUUUUUAUUAAUUGAUGUAUAAAUUAAUAAAUUAUUAAUUUAUUGAUUGAAUAAUAUCUCGAUUAAUUAAUAAACUUUGUAAUCCCGAAAGUAUUAAUUUAUAAAAAUUUAAAUAUAUUCGAUUCAACAAAUAAUAUGCAAACAUUCAUAAUCACAUGACUAAAUUACAAGAUCUUUGUAAAAUAUGAUUUCAAUGUUAUUUGUUUUCUCUUGAAAUUUUUAUAAAAUAUGAUUCCAAGUCUUGAAAUUGAUGUCUCCUUAAAUCCCAUCUCUCUUUAAAUUUCAUCUCUAAAUUUUUUUUAAUGCAUUAAGAAAGUAAUGUUUCGUAUUGCAUAGAAAAUUAUACAUAAUACAUACAUAUUAAGUUUAAUAUUUUGAAAAAAAAAUAAAAAAUACCUUGAUAAAUCAAUUUUUUAUUAAUUAAUACAUAAAUUAAUAAAUAACAUUUUAUAGAUUAAAUAAUAUCUCGAUUAAUUACCAAAUAUCAUAAUCGUCUAAGUAUUAAUUUAUAUAAAUUUAAAUAUAUUCGAUUCAGCAAAUAAUAUGCAAACAUUCAUAAUCAGUGAUCAACCUUACAAUGUUUACUAUUACAAGUGCACAGUAUCCCACGGAUCGCAUAUGGUAUCUGCUGUUUUAACUGUUUUCUUUCUUGAGAAGGAGAGUGGUAGCAAAAUUGUGUGGCUUUGGUAGACACUGAAUGCUACUUUACUGCUGUAGGUGAUGUAAAUUGUAUUAUAGUUGGCAUUCAGCUUGCCUCAUAAACACACAUCUUUUAGACUUGGUGUGAAAUGAACAAGUCUUCUGCUAAGUCUGUUCCAGGAAUAGCUGUGUUUAUAUGUGCGGUACGACUAUCCAGAUGGACCAAAUUUACUGAAUUCCUAGUCAUGUUCAAGAAGAUCAUUCUCAGCACCAUAGUCUCUAAGGUCCAGAGUUGGUCGUUUCAAUCUUUGGAAAAUUUCAUCAAGAGAUUCAGACGAGGACGCACCGGCGGACAUUGUAUUUUCUCGAGUCCAUCGUAAAGGGAGGAAUUUCUUUGCUUCCAAGUCAGAUUUGAAAUUUAGAAGACCAGACUUCAUUGAUUCCCAUUUUGAGGCUAAUCCCCCUGAUGGUGGUGUCAUUGCACUUUCAGAGUUGCCAGCAUCAACCGUUAAGGAUGUCGAGUCCUUUUGAGUUGAAUUCUCGUUGGAUGCUUGUGUGUUCUGGUGUGCCCUUAUUCCAGAAUAUUUCUUGCUAAUGGCUUCUUUGCUUGUGUCAUGCUGAGCCUCUUCUUUCAGAGGUGUAAGUUGAUCUCCUUUUCCAAUUUCAAUGGCACUUUGUGCUCUUGUAUCUGUAGCAGCCUUAUCCUGAUACCAUUUUCAAGUAAAAGAUCAAUUACAUGAUAAAAAGAAGGAAAAAGAAAUAAAAUAUCGAAGAUGCUUUAAAGUGUGCAGCAACAAAGUAAUUGGCAUGCUUUGCAUAUAAUAAGAUAGCAGUUUUCAAUACCAGAGCACACAUACUGUGUUAUUACUGCCAGGUUCAAUGUCAAUGCUCAUGCUGUUGAAAUUCCUUGCCAGUGGAAUAACAUGCUCACUAACUUUAAGCCCUCGCUCUAGCCAGGACCGUUCUAAACAAGAAGUGGAAAUGUUUACAACCUUAGAGAACGAAGAAGAAACUGUGACAUUGUGCUUGCUGAUGGCAAUAUGUAGUGAUCACCUUUCUGCAAGAUAAUUAGUCCUGAGGGAUCAAAUCCAUCUGUAUCAUCAACUUCAUCUUGAAACUUGAAUAGUUUCCAAUUCCCGAAAUAAUCAAUGACCCGGUUAAAGAAGUUUGUCACAAGUAAGAGUGUGUAUAUAACCAUGAUGAGAGGAUAAAUUUUAUUGAAUCCUUUACCAAAGAAAGGUACAGCAUCAUCUAUGUUCCCCAUUCUCUGCAUUUAGUUGAUGUUACAUGAGACUUCAAGCAAAAUAAUAAAAAACCCUUAACGGAAAGAUUAACCCGAACCAAAUUUUUGUUUAGUAAAAAUGACAGAUUUAAAUGACUCUGAGACAGGGACUUCCACGGUUUAAGAAACUAAAAUAUUCCAAUAUACAUGCCACAGUAACAAACUUUCAUAUCCAUAGGUAAUUAUUCAACAAAUUUUUAUAAGAACUUAUCCCACUUGCAUCCUUAAUUUCUCAUGCCAAAAAAAUGCAUACAGUUUUUAUGGUAUAAAAUUGGUUCAUCCUUAAUUUCUGAUUCUACUUAUUUCAAGAUUCUUAGCAGAAAAUAUUGCACAAUUUCUGCAUCUUAAAAAAGUUAGUGUGAGCAAACAUCUUGUGAAGUAAUAAUAUUUCAACAUUACUCUAAGAGUAGCACCCUUUUGAUCAACAUCAAAUUUUUCUUCGAAAGGAACAGUGCUGCAUGGGCAUGAGGCAUAAUAAAAAUCAUUUAGAUGCCCCGUUACCUGUGCUCAUCAUAUAAAUCACAAUAGCAGUGGUACAAUAUAAGAACCACCAUCAAUUAUUUUGCAGAACUGAUGGAUAAAAUUGAAACAUUAAUAUCAUAGUAUAGCUGGAUGUUGUCAAGAAAAGCACAACAAAGUAGAAAAACCACUGACCUUCUCAAAGAUGGUUUUCCUAUUACCAGGGAGAUGGAUAAGGUUGAGAAAGUUGUAUGAAAUUGGUGGAGCAUAUCGUGCAACCAUCCUGAUAGACGUUUAGGAGUAAGAUCCAUUACAAGUUCUAAAAAUGAAAGGCCAAGUAAAAGUUGUAAGGAUAGAAGAAAAAGGAAGAAUUACGAGCAUAUCAUAAGCAAACUGAGUGAGCUAGUUUGUUUGGGGGUGAAUGAGUAGAACAUCAGCAUUCCAAUUUUGAACAAGGAAUAAUAGGUGCAGACACACAUAUACAUCAGAGGGAAGAAAGCAGCAACCUGAAAAUCAACACAGUAAUUUGAUAAUACCAAGCCCUUUGGCUGAUUGUGAAAAUAGAAUUUAAGAUUUCACUCAAAUUCACCAUUUAUUAACUUAAAUACAGUAGGGUGAUUGACCAAGGGUUGGUGGACAUCAAGAAGUCAUUCAAGUAAUACAAAUUUUGGAUUUCUUGUUCAUAGCAAUUAGCAAAUGGAUGAUUGAUUAUAUAGUGGACUUGUUGUUCCAACUCUUGGUUUUAAACAGGACAUGAAGGAGGCAAACAAAAUGUUAAGUGGUGGAUUUCUUCCUCAAAUAUAGGGACAAUGGGGUUUAGGAUAAAAUGGUAACAUCGAAUUGCUCACUCGAUUUCUACAGUUCAGUUCUCUGUUCUUAUGCUUGUGCUCCAAGCAGUUUACUCAUUUGAGACUCUAAAUAGUCCAAUUUGUUUCAAUAUAUUACCUGCACAAGCAUUUCCUGCUUUCCCACAGAGUUUAUGAGAAUGGAGAAAAGAGAUAAAUCAACUCCAUUGGGCAAUAUAGUAGCCUCUGCUAAAAGAAGGGCAGCUGACAUGCAACCCAGAAUAAUAGCCAAGAGUUUCUCCAGUUGCUUUCUUAGAACACAACGCCAAAUGAACUCUGUAAGGAAUAAAUAAUUAGUUUGAACAUUAUCUAACUUGAUGAUAAAUGAUAUAAGAGCAACUUAACAAAGAACCAUCAUUGCAAGUUCACAAAAAGUACUCCAUUUCAUAACUUAGAUAAAUUCAAAUGAUUAAGCAUAUUAUGUACGUAGGAUUUCAAAAAUUGACUUCAAUUUCAGCUCACUAAUUACCAUUGAGUACUAUUCUGGAAUAAGGACAAUUAGUUUGUAGCAUUCCAAACUUAAAGGAGAUGAAAAAGACCUUUGAAGGUGAAAGAAGACAGAUCAACUUGUUUUAUGCAGAUCCAGUCUGCCAUAAGGAAAUCAUUAGAAAGACUUAAACAGCAAAUCUUAAGCACCUAGAUGGUAGGUCAAUUUGGCACCUAAUAAAUUCCCCAGCCCCAAAUAAAAAUAAGAAAAAGGAAAGGAUUCAGAGUGGAGUAAUUACCAAGCAUAUCCAGAGAAGCCCCUAGUCUACCCUUUCGUUCAGGCCUGAAGCUUGAAAUAAGUUUCCUGCAACAUUUUAAAAUGAAUGUUGGCACACUUUCAAGAAGAAGAAAAAGAAGGAAAAACACUUUUAACAAUAAUAAAUAGAGGACUUGUAUAGCACACAAACACUGCAAAAUAUAAAACUGACUUCUAAACUUAUAUUUUAGAUGUAUUUAGAUUAAUUAUUCUGUCUAAUCUCGGUUCACCUUUAAGGUAAAAUGCCAGAUGCAAUAACUCUCAAUAUAUUAAACAUUUUUUAGCAUGCCUACCAUGAAGAAUACAAGAACCUUAUUUAGAUAAAUUAUUCAGUCUAAUGUUGGUCCACCUUUUAGGUAAAUGGUUAGAUGCAAUAACUCUCAAUAUCAAACAUUUUUGAGCAUGGCUAAUAUUCCCUCCAAUUUCAAGGGGAAUCAUUUGUUGAAUAAAAUAUAUCAAUGAAUACCUCCAAACAAGUUCUUACUCUUAGUAAAACUAACCUCAAUUAUUAUUUCAAGUGGGCUCUCCUUCCUUGAGCAAGCCUCAUUCACAGUUAUGCACAUAUAAAUUGGUUAUUUGACAACCUACACAGAAAUGAUUGAUUUCUAGAGCUUUGUCUCUUUCUCAAUACUACAUCCUGUAAAUCUCCAUAGCAUGCUUACCUGUAUUAUUUAUGCCAUGAAACAUUGAGAACAUCUUAUUGAAUAAAUCAGCUACUCAUUUUCAUGCUCACUUAUAUGCUAAUGCAUACAUGAUGAUGAACAAAUCAGAAAAGGCUGGGCAAAUAACUAUAAUGCCCCUAAUAUCGAAAUAUUCUACAUGGAAGCAUGACUACUAGCUGAAAAAUACAAAGUAAAACACAAAAUAAAGUUGUAAAUGCACCUUUUGUUGAACAUACAACUAAAUGACUAUGAGAGAGAGACCAAAUUAAAAUAUAACUGCUAAUUUAAAAGUACAGAAUGAAGCGCAAAAGAAAGUUGUAAAUGCAACUUCCGCCAUGAGUGUGUCACAGAGAGAGAGAGAGAAAUUUAAUCAAAGGUAAGUUGACAGGAAAGUAGAACAAAGGGGAGGGAGGGAGAAGGGGGGGCGGCUAGAAGGAUUUUAAGACAAUUCAGUUUCCAAAGGUCAGACAAGGAAAUGGGCCCCAUAGCAAGAACAAAUUCAGACACAUGUAAUGAUUCCAGAAUUUGAGUCUAAAGUUGAUGUUUUGCAUAUGAAAUUAGAAAAAAAAAAAAGCAUAUAACUUAAUAAGCAUGCAAGUCUUAUUUAGAUGCAAAGUGCAAACCAUCCAGUUGCAUCACGGCGCUCAUAGUUUUUGACCGUAUCUUCCAGCUCAAGGGCUUCCAAGACAAUGCUCAUAUUUUCACUGCAAAAGCCUAAGAGUUAACUUUCAUUACCACUGGAAAAAACUCACUUGGAAGCAAAGUACAGCAACAUCAUUCAUUGAUAAAUCUUUAAGAUACAAAAACCAUGCUUGACAGAGAAAGUAAUUGGUACUUAUAAGUAAUCUACCAUAUUUGAUCUGUCCCUAAAAGAGAUGUCAAAAGAGAGAAAAUAGCAGCAGUUCUUCUAAAAAUACAAGGAGCAGAAACUAAGUUUAGCAUUGUUUUUCAUCAUGUGCAAAUUACAUAUCAAUAGACAAAUUCACAUGAAUCUGCAGGUUUCUUCCGAGCAAUGCAAACAUUUAGGCAGUUAAUUUCACAACGCCAAUACAAAAUGUCUUAAAAGUACAUUAUUGCCAUGAAAAAUUUAGCAUAAUGACACACAAUCAAACAACAGUACUCCUUUGAUUCUGAAAUAUAGUACUAUACCAGCCAUUAAAAAUUUUAACUAACCACAUUACAGUGUAACUUCGAUACCGACAGUACUCCUCUCUUGCUAUCCUAAGCCAGCGUCUAAGUGUCGCCAUUGAUUUCUCAUCAGUGUCAUAGCCCAUAUCAUUCUCCCCAAACCUCCCACCUUGAGGUUUGAAGGAGGGAUCUUCUUUUAACUGCAAAAUAGGAAAUAAAAUAUUGGAGGAAAUCACAUAAAAUUCCACUUUGAGACUAAACAGACCAUAGACAGAAGUGGAGCACCAUUUGAUGCAACAUGCUAUCAAUAAUAUUCAUGUACGGUCGUAAAGGAUCACGCUUCGAUAUCUGAUUUGACGUGGCCUGAGCAACCUGUCAAAUGCACCUUCAUUAGCUGUGAAGGGAAAAAGAUAAUAACUCAAAGUUAUCUCUAGCAACCUGAAUUAGAAAUAAUAAACUGGAAUAUGAGAGAGAAUAAUGUUCCAAUAAUAAAACAAUUCUGGAGAUAUUUGACACAAGUCUUGAAAUUUUUGCUUUCAGACAAGCAUCAAUAACAUAUCCGUAUUUGUUAUGGUUACCCUCAAUAAAGUAUUUUGCGCUCUCGAAGAAUCAUUUUUCUAGCUUGCUUAGUUUAGAGCUUUGUAAAACUUCAUCCCAUAUCCGGUGUAUUAAUCUUGCCAAUAACUUCUUUGGAGAAGCUUUACUACAUUUGGAGAACUGUACUUCAUUGCAUUAUGUUCACCUUAAUGGCAAUGGACUGUCAGGAACUUUCCCUGAGAAUUUAUUCCGGUUACAACAUCUUAGAAUACUGCACCUUCAAGAAAAUAGGUUUUCAGGGCCUCUGCAUUACGGAAUUAGUAACCUCCCUAACCUUGUUGAACUGGAUAUCUCCUCCAAUGGGUUCAAUGGAAGUCUCCCAGAUGUUGUUGGGAGACUGAGAAAGCUGGAUUCCUUCUCUGCCGGCUCAAAUAGAUUAACUGGCUUAUUGCCUAUUUCUUUGGUGAAUUCUCCUUCGCUUUCCAUAGUUGAUCUGCGCAACAAUAGUUUGGAUGGUCCGAUCAAUAUAAAUUGUUCUGCAAUGACCCGUAUCGCUUCGCUUCGUCUUGCUUCCAAUAAUUUUCAGGGGCCAGUUUCUGAUCUAUCCUCUUGCCAGAGCUUGAGAACUCUGGAUCUUGCACGCAACAAACUUGGUGGUGAGGUUCCAUUCCACUUUAAAAAUCUCCAGGCACUGAAAUUCCUCACUCUCCAAGACUCUGGCAUUAUUAAUAUAUCCACAGCACUUGAGAUUCUACAACACUGCAAGAACUUGACUAUAUUGGUCCUUGGUUUGAACUUUUAUCACGAAGAGAUGCCUAGCAACGUGAAUUUGAAGUUCAGAAGUCUCAAGGCACUUAUUAUUCCAAAUUGUCACCUUAGAGGUUCCCUUCCACUUUGGUUGAGUGGUUGCAACAUGUUGCAAUUGCUGGAUCUGUCUUGGAAUUCUUUGGGCGGGUCCAUUCCAUUCUGGCUAGGCAACUUCAUCUAUCUCUUUUACUUGGACUUGUCUAAUAAUACCUUUUCGGGAGAGAUACCAGAAAGUUUAACUGGACUAGAAAGUCUUGUUCACAAUACUGUUCUACUGAAAGAACUCCCUGCAGAUUUGCGACUGGUGAAAGGCACGGAGCACGGUGGGCGCUUGCUGUAUAAAAAUAUAUGGAGCUUUCCACCGACUAUCGCCUUAAGUUGCAACAAGCUUACAGGACCAAUCUGGCCAAGCUUUGGGAAUUUGAAAAACCUCCAUGUUUUGAGUCUGAAUGGGAACGACCUUUCAGGAACCAUUCCAGAUAGUAUGUCGGAGAUGACAAGCUUAGAACAGUUGGAUUUGUCACGUAACAAGCUCUCAGGCGAAAUACCUAAUUCCCUGAUACAUCUC